GAUGAAACAUAUAACAUGCUUGGUUCUAUGCAUGGACCUACUUCCAAGCUUUGGCGUAAUUCUUAUGAACCAAUCACUUACCGCCGACAAACUGGUUAUUGGAUGCUAUUCAACAUCUGCAUUAACCCUUUCAAUGACGAGUUUUAAGCAAAACACAACUAGUGAAAUAGCAAAGUGUGAACGGUACCUUAAAAAGUGUUUUUUGAGUGAGUACGUCUCCAAUCAAACAUUUUAAAUUACCCACUUUGGUUACGGCGCUCUUCUUACCGUGAACAAUCUGAACAUCGAUCUAUGUGGAAUAUACAUGUGCUGUGAAUCGUUUACACCGACCAACUGUGGAAGCACGAUUGUGCGCUUACCGGAUAGUGCCACUACAGUCAUCGUCCCAAACAGUUCUAAACACAAUUUGAAUAACGAUACAAACCCCAAUGGGUGGUCAAACGAUGCGCACGGGAAUCUUAACUCAACAGGAUUAAUUAUCGCAGUGUCUUGUACAGCGGUGGUUGCGGUCGUUUCCCCCAUACUGACGUUGUGUGCAGUAAUUAGAAUGAGGCUAUACUAUCGCA
Dreissena polymorpha is the source of this 566-nucleotide long non-coding RNA. RefSeq lists it as uncharacterized. The record is from RefSeq and is a predicted model, not a curated record. Lineage: Eukaryota; Metazoa; Mollusca; Bivalvia; Myida; Dreissenidae. The transcript is spliced from 3 exons.